RNAcentral lists this ribosomal RNA (618 nucleotides) under Escherichia coli. Its description in RNAcentral is "bacterial SSU rRNA". It matches the Rfam family "Bacterial small subunit ribosomal RNA", at positions 1 to 608 of the family's 1533-position model. The record is from RNAcentral. Lineage: Bacteria; Pseudomonadati; Pseudomonadota; Gammaproteobacteria; Enterobacterales; Enterobacteriaceae.
AAAUUGAAGAGUUUGAUCAUGGCUCAGAUUGAACGCUGGCGGCAGGCCUAACACAUGCAAGUCGAACGGUAACAGGAAGAAGCUUGCUUCUUUGCUGACGAGUGGCGGACGGGUGAGUAAUGUCUGGGAAACUGCCUGAUGGAGGGGGAUAACUACUGGAAACGGUAGCUAAUACCGCAUAACGUCGCAAGACCAAAGAGGGGGACCUUCGGGCCUCUUGCCAUCGGAUGUGCCCAGAUGGGAUUAGCUAGUAGGUGGGGUAACGGCUCACCUAGGCGACGAUCCCUAGCUGGUCUGAGAGGAUGACCAGCCACACUGGAACUGAGACACGGUCCAGACUCCUACGGGAGGCAGCAGUGGGGAAUAUUGCACAAUGGGCGCAAGCCUGAUGCAGCCAUGCCGCGUGUAUGAAGAAGGCCUUCGGGUUGUAAAGUACUUUCAGCGGGGAGGAAGGGAGUAAAGUUAAUACCUUUGCUCAUUGACGUUACCCGCAGAAGAAGCACCGGCUAACUCCGUGCCAGCAGCCGCGGUAAUACGGAGGGUGCAAGCGUUAAUCGGAAUUACUGGGCGUAAAGCGCACGCAGGCGGUUUGUUAAGUCAGAUGUGAAAUCCCCGGGC